RNAcentral lists this unclassified non-coding RNA (237 nucleotides) under plant metagenome. RNAcentral's name for it is "partial contains small subunit ribosomal RNA, internal transcribed spacer 1, and 5.8S ribosomal RNA". The record is from RNAcentral.
UCUCCGUUGGUGAACCAGCGGAGGGAUCAUUACCGAGUUUACAACUCCCAAACCCCAUGUGAACCUUACCAAACGUUGCUUCGGCGGGAUGCCCCGGGCGCGGGCCCCAAGGCCUCAGCCCCGGAACCAGGCGCCCGCCGGAGGCCCAAACCAAACUCUUGUUUUUGUAGAAUCUUCUGAGUGGCCUUUUAGGCAAAAAAUGAAUCAAAACUUUCAACAACGGAUCUCUUGGUUCUG